UCCUCCGUGGGCAUAACGGCAGUAUAUAAAUGAUGCUGAAAAGAAAUCUGGUCUUUUCAGGUUCCCGUACUGACGUGUCGAGGUGGUCGCAUCCCGGCGUAGAGGACUAGGAAUCGGGAGUCACUGGCCGUAUGCUGGAGGCUGGAGACGCGGGAGCGUGGCUUGCCUCGCUGCGGUUGUUGGCAGCGAUGGAGAUGGCGCGGCUGGAGAGUUGGUUCCUUUGGGUGGGUUCGUGAUCUCACUGACUUCAAGAAUGAAGCCGUGGACCUUCAUGUGCCAUCUGCUGCUGCCUCUGACUACUGCAUUUUCCCCCGUUUGCUUAGUCCACGCCCAGUGUGGUAAAAGAUGGGAAAGAGAAAGCCAUCCUCUCAUUAAAGUAAUUGGUCCGGCAUA
Molecule: long non-coding RNA, 393 nt
Organism: Homo sapiens (human)
Lineage: Eukaryota; Metazoa; Chordata; Mammalia; Primates; Hominidae
Exons: 3
Source: RefSeq, a predicted model, not a curated record